AGUGAACGCUGGCGGUAGACCUAACACAUGCAAGUCGAACGGCAGCACAGUAAGAGCUUGCUCUUACGGGUGGCGAGUGGCGGACGGGUGAGGAAUACAUCGGAAUCUACUUUUUCGUGGGGGAUAACGUAGGGAAACUUACGCUAAUACCGCAUACGACCUACGGGUGAAAGCAGGGGAUCUUCGGACCUUGCGCGAUUGAAUGAGCCGAUGUCGGAUUAGCUAGUUGGCGGGGUAAAGGCCCACCAAGGCGACGAUCCGUAGCUGGUCUGAGAGGAUGGUCAGCCACACGGGAACUGAGACAGGGUCCAGACUCCUACGGGAGGCAGCAGUGGGGAAUAUUGGACAAUGGGCGCAAGCCUGAUCCAGCCAUACCGCGUGGGUGAAGAAGGCCUUCGGGUUGUAAAGCCCUUUUGUUGGGAAAGAAAAGCAGCAGGUUAAUACCCCGCUGUUCUGACGGUACCCAAAGAAUAAGCACCGGCUAACUUCGUG
RNAcentral lists this ribosomal RNA (492 nucleotides) under uncultured bacterium. RNAcentral describes it as "partial 16S ribosomal RNA". It matches the Rfam family "Bacterial small subunit ribosomal RNA", at positions 29 to 507 of the family's 1533-position model. The record is from RNAcentral.